RNAcentral lists this long non-coding RNA (6821 nucleotides) under Homo sapiens (human). Its description in RNAcentral is "non-protein coding lnc-RPL39L-3:1". Lineage: Eukaryota; Metazoa; Chordata; Mammalia; Primates; Hominidae. The record is from RNAcentral.
AUGACUGCAAACAGAAGAAAGACCAGGACGCAGCAGCUGAACUUUUUCUUCAGGUUGGUGUGAAUCAUAAUGAAGAUGUGUUCAGGGAAGUCACUUUGUUCUGAGCAGGAAAACAAGCCUAAAAAAAGUGAGACAAGGAAAAACAAAUGAUGUAAAGAAAAACCCAAUGUGGCAUGAGGCGGAGCGAUGGACUGAGCAAUAGAUUUGAAAUGAGGUGACUUGAAUUCCAGCCCUGGUCUACCUCCUGGCCACCUCUGCAGCCUGUUAAGCAAUUCUCGACAAAAGUCAGACUCAAUUUGGGCUUUGAACGUGGACAGCAGUCCCUCUUCCUCUUCCACUCUUCCACUCCCUUCUUCCUCUUGAGCCAUGAACACUUUAUAUGUCCUCCCAUCAUUACUUUUUCUAUGCUGAAUAUUAGUUUCUGGUUGCCUUGGUCUACCUCUCUGACUGCACUCUGAGUUUCUUGAAGUCAGAAACCACAUCUUGCAAAUCACUCAGUUCCUAGGGCCUUGUAACAUUUGUUAAAUGAAGCCAUGCAUGCUUGAAAAAAAAAUAGAAUAAAAAAAAGCAGGCUGACUGUUUUACAUCACCAGACCUAAACUUCCUAAAAUAGUAAGUGGCCCAACACCCCUUCAAAAUGGCCAGAAAAAGACUUCUCGUUAUAGAUGAUGCCAUAGAUUUCUGAUGUAUCUCUCUAAGGGCUGCGAUGCUGGACUCCUGCAUGAGAAGAUCGAGGGUUAUCUCCACCACAGUUUUGUGCAGUGCCCUGCAAGAAGAGCACUGCUGAGACAGGAAGCUGACUCACCUCAUGAUAGAGGCUAGGAAUUCUGGGUAAGAUAGCAGACAUGUAGCCAACUAAGGAAAUGGAAACAAAAAUUCAUUAAGCACGCUAGAUGUUAUUUCACUUAACUUCACCAUAACCAGGGCCACCAUGAGACACAACUCUGGGGGCACCACGCAUAGCAUAGUCUAAUACGAAGGGCAUCUCCUAACCUGUACAGGGUUCACUUCAAAGGUGUUAUAAUCUCCAUUUUAUGGAUUAGCAACCUGAGGCUCUAAGAAGUCAAGGGAAGUGCCCAAGCUCACAGAGCUGAGGAAAUGGUUGCACUGAGGUUCAAAUCGAAGUGGAUUUGAUUCCAUAACCCAUGUCCUUUCCAGUACAACAUGCACAGAACUGCAAGAAGCUCUGGAAAAUAGAUUUCACUGAGCAAAUAGAGACUGAAUAGUCUCUUUAUUUCUGAGUAAACACCUACUUUGUUUUCUCAGAAUUUAUUGUGUAACUGAAUGGAAACUGGAAGCACUUUGAACUCAAAUAAUGUCUGUAUCUUUUGGAAAACAUUACAUUCUUUCCCCAAUCACUGGGUUUAUUUACAAUAAUAAAUCAAAGCAAUCACCUCCGGGGUUUUGCUAACCCACUAGGGGUCUGAGGUCCCUUCCCAUGGAUCCCGCUCCUAAGGAUAUCAGGAAAAGGUAGUAGGAGUACUGGACUGGGUGUUCACAAAACCUGGGUUCUUAUCCCCAUUCUUGGUGACCUUGGGCAGGUCACUUAAUAUUUCUGCCCCUGAGUUUUUCAGAAUAAUUAUCUCUGCCCUAUGUGAUUUGCAGAGUGUUGGGAGGGCAAAACAAGAGCAUGGUAUUCAUUGGAUUUGAACUAGAUAAGCAAAAAGGCACAGAAGGUAUUCUGAACAGAGACAGGAGAGCAGCAGCUCAGCCUGGGGGCCAUGUGGAGGUGAUACGGGUAGUGAAGACAGCAGUGUGAAGCCACAGCCAUGACUCAGCAGCCCUGAGCUCCAGGCUCUUCCCUGGGAAUUCUCCAUGAACUGACAUCCAGCUCAUUCCUGGAAUCCAUUGGCAGUACCAACCAAAGCAGUGCUUCCACCAUCCCAGACCUCAGGAACCAGUGACUCUGGGAACGAUGGGCUCCUAUCUUGGGCUGCUGAAGUUGUGGAAAUGAUUAAAUGUACACAGUGGAAGAAGAAUUCAGAUAGAAGAUCAUGAAGUGAAGGGUGGAAGCUUGUUGUAUUACCAGAAACUAAGGAAUUCAAUUUCCGCAGACACCCAACACAGGUAAUCACAUGACCAUAUGACAACUGAAGAAGAACUAGAGAAAAGAAGGAAAGUAGCAUUUAAGGAGGGCCUACUACGUGGUAGUCACUUUCCUUGCAAUAUCUCAUUGAACCUUUACUACAACACUAUGAUAGAGAUAUUGACAAUCCUAUUUUAGGAAAUGGAAAAAACUGAGACUUAGCAAGGUUAUAGGGUUUCUCCAAUGUCAACAGCAAGUCAGUUCUAGAACCAGAAUUCCAGCCCAGGUCUGUCUGACUCUAAAAGUUCAUCAUCUUUCCACCCAAGGACAUGCAUCUGUGAUAAGGGACAGUGAGAAGUCAGUGUGAUCAAGUCGGACUCAAGGUCACUAGAGAGGCAACUUCGUCUGUCAGACAGUCGCAGACAAGCCACCUUCACCAUCAGUGCUGCACCUGCCAUCCCUGCUGUGCACUGAGUGGUAACACUCAGGUACUUUCCGUAUUGGUAAGGUUUUACAGACCUAUUAUACUCCCGUGAGAUAAGCACAGCAGAUUUUAUGAGCUCCAUUUAUAGCUGAGUAUAGUGAGGUUUGGAAAUACAAAUAAUUUUCAAAGUUGCAUGAGUGAUUUGGAAAUAGUGGACUUAGAACCUGACUUUCACAUGUCUGAAUGAAACAAGAUGGCAGGAAGGGCCUGAUUCACUGUCACAGGAGUGGAGGCUCAGGCAGCAGCUGCCCAGUACCUACUCUCCAAGGUGUGGUUUCCCAGGAAAGAAGAGUUCCUCCAAACAGCUGGGUCUAGCGACAGUCUUGCAACCAUCAGACAGCCUCAGCCUUCACAGCCUGUGCUCUGUCAUGGCCUCAGGGCACUCAUCUGAAAUCUCACAUAAGGGCUCAUGUGGUCCCUUGACACCACCCUUGGUUGAGGCUCCAAGUCCACCAGGUGGCUGGAGUUUCUGGUCACAGGCACUUAUAACUGCAAGACCCUUUCUCAUCUCUCAAAUUGUCUGAAGAAGGCAGAGGCUGAAGAAACUUUCUCUAAAUGGCGCAACCGAGGGAAAAGAGUAGCAAACUUUUCUCUACAAAUGUUUUGGAAAAACACACUAAGCUUUGAAUUUUCCAAUUACACCAGACUGUGUUAAGCCUCCAGGUGUCUGCACUGCUGCACUCUUUCUCCUUGUCCAUGUGCCUGCCAGCUCUGACAGCAUCACCUUUCUGCUUCUGAAGGUCAGUGGAGGCCACCUCCCCUUCCGCACUAUCCCUGCUCCCCUUUGCUGCCAGCCAGUGCUUUGUAAUGCUUGCUUUUCAUGCCUGACUUUGCUGCUCAAGGAAAACUCCUCCUGGUAUCCUUUCUGAAACCCUAGUACCCAGCACAGUGCCUGGACCAGAGCGGAUACUCAAUGAAAGAUUAUUGAACUGAUGCAAUUGUAUCAGAGAAUCUUUACAAUCAUCACGAGGCUUCUAGAGGAAGAACACAGCGACUUGCAUCAUCACCUUCAAAGAACUGGCCAACACUGAACCGGCAGAAAUCAAUGCUCAAAGCAAGGAAAUCCUGUCCCGACCCACCCGUCAUGACAUACUCAGUACCAGUUGCAUUCGUGGCAGGUAGUAGGUACUCAGAAUGGUUGACUGAAAUACAGAAUAACUUAAAUCUUAUAUAGUUAAUAGAAAUGGACAAGCCAUUUCUCUACACCCCCCAAUGAAACCCACAUUGAAUCAGCAGUUAAAGAGGACUAAAAAAUACAUACAAAAAGAAAACAGCAAAGCUGGAGCCAGAUACUGAGAUCCUGAGAUUCCCUGCCAGGACAUCUGCCACACCAGCUUUUACUCAGGAAUGUACCCCUUUGCUAGCCCAUGCCUCUGUGUGUUCCUUACCUGCUUCUGGCUAAUCCCCCAGGGGCGGCAGGCCCUUCAGGUCCUCAGGAAUUAGCACUAUUAUCCAUGGGAGGGAAGGUUUAUUGGGUCUGCAGGCCAAGGCCCAUUUUUCUCAGGAUGAUCAAAACUCAUCUGCAAAGGCAAAAAAUAAGAGACAGAAAGAGAGGAGGUGAGAGCUGUUUUCCAGCAGAGGCAGUGUUAAACAUUAACAAGAUGGAAAGGUGCUUAUGCAGACCUAGGCUAGGUCUCAAUCCAGGAAGCCUCCAGGGCUCAGGAAAAAGAGAGAGAGAAAAGCCUAUUAAAGGUGCAAUGCUCUGGAUCUGUGAACAGCACAGAUAGCCUAGAAAUAGACUUGACACUAGCCGGGUGUGGUGGCUCACACCUGUAAUCCCAGCACUUUGGGAGGCCGAGGCAGGCGGAUCAGGAUCAUGAGGACAGGAGAUCAAGACCAUCUUGGCUAACACGGUGAAACUCCAUCUCUACUAAAAUACAAAAAAAAAAUUAGCCAGGCAUGAUGGCGCACACCGGUAGUCCCAGCUACAAGGGAGGCUGAGGCAGGAGAAUUGCUUGAACCCGGGAGGCGGAGGUUGCAGUGAGCCGAGAUCACGCCACUGCACUCCAGCCUGGGCAACAGAGAGAGACUCUGUCUCAAAAGAAAAAAAAAAAAAAAAAAAAAGAAAUAGACUUGACACCAGAUAAGAAUGGGCUAGAAAGCUAAAGCGGCCACCAUGGACCAACCUGGGAAGAACAGGUUGUUUAAUUGCUGGCUUGGAGGUAAACAGGGAGUAAUUAGGUCCAUCCUGAAAUAAACUUCAUACAGAUUUUCAAAAAAUUAUUUAUUUUCAAAGAAUAUUUAAUAAUAUGUGAAAGUUCAAUCAGUAUAAUUGUAACUGAAAAAAUACGUUAUAAAACGGUAAACACUAUCCAAAUUCAGAAAAAAAAUACAUUUAAAAAAACGUGAAAAAGUACUAGGAAAAAGUACUAGAAAAAAGUACACCCAGAAUGGUAAUAAUAGAUGUUUUCAUCUUUUAUAAUUUUACAUAUAUUCCAAAAUUUCUAAAAUGUACAUCCAUUAUUCUUUGACUUUGAAAAAAUGUACAAAAGUAUAAAAAUGUAAUUUUAAAAAGCUAAAAAUAAGCCAGGCGUGCAUGCCUGUAGUCCCAGUUACUCAGGAGGUUGAGGAGGGAGGAUCAUUUGAGCCCAGGAGUUAGAGGCUGCAGUGAGCUAUGAGCGCCACUGCACUCCAGCCUAGGUGACAGAGUGAACCUGUCUCUAAACAAACCAACAAAAAACAGCUAAAAAUAUAAAUAUAUACCUGUCAGCUCUUUCUUCUUUUGAUGCGAUGUAGGAAAAUAGCAAAGGAAAAGUUUAAUACAUUCAGUUGCAAGAAAAUUUCAACAUCUAUACAAUGAAAAAUACUGUAACUACAAUAAAAAGGAAAAGUCAAAAUAUAAAAAGGGUUAAUAUAAUAAAAGUCUCCCAAAAUAAAGAGGUAAUCAACAUGAACAGACUAAUCACAAAAUAAAAAGCACAAUUAACAAGCAUAUAAAGUUAUGGUUAAUCAUGAGAGAAACCCAAGAGGGGCAACUAGAAUACUGAGAAACUAGUUUAUAGAAUUUACAUUCGUCCGCAGUUUUCUACAUGAUAAUACUCAUUGCUGGACAGAUUAUAAUUAAAUCGAUAUAUAUUCAAAGGAUCAUAUAAAUUAAUGUAACCUUUCUAGAAUGUAUUCAGGCCAUAGAAUUAAGAGCUUCUGACCAUGGACCAGGCUACUGUACUUCUAGGAAAUAAGAGUGAAUAAAUAAAUAAUUCAUAAAUAAUUCAAAAGAUUACAUACUCCAGUUUCCCCACAUGUAAAAUGAUUCUCUACAUUACAUAGUUCUGAUGACAAAUGAAAGAGGAUUAAUGAGAUAAAGAAUAUGAGUUCUAUAAAGCAAUACGCACACAAAGAAGAAAAGGGUUUUUUUAAAAAAUAAUUUUAAUUUAUAUGUUAGAUUCAGGGGGUAUGUAUGCAGGCUUGUUACCUGGUAUAUUGCACAAUGCUGAGGCUUGGGGUAUGAUUGAUCCUGCCAUGCAGGUACUGAAUAAUUCAUUUUUUAGCUCUUUCCCCAGCCUUCCCCGUCUUGUAGUCCCCAGUGUUUAUUAUUGCCAUCUUUAUGUCUAUCAGCAUUCAUUGUUUAGUUCCCACUUAUAAGUGACAACAUAUGGCAUUUGGUUUUCUGUUCCUGCAUUAUUAAUUUGCUUAGGAUAAUGGCUUCCAGCUGCAUCCAUGUUGCUGCAAAGGGCAUGGCUUUGUUCUUUUUCAUGGCUGUGUACUAUUCCACAGUGUAUAUGUACCAUAUUUUCUUUAUCCAGUCCACCACUGAUGGGCACCUAGGCUGAUUCCAUUCUUUGCUAUUGUGAAUAGUGCUGCAAUAAACACACAAGUGCAUGUCUCUUUUUGGUAGAAACAUUUAUUUCCUUUUGGAUAUAUACCCAGUAAUGUGAUUGCUGAGUUGAAUAGUAGUUCUGUUUUCAAGUUUUCUGAGAAAUCUCCAAAUUGCUUUUCAUGGUGGCUGAACUAAUUAACAUUCUCAACAACAGUGUGUAGGUGUUCCCUUUUCCCUGCAGCCUCCCUAGCAUCUGGUGUUUUUUGACUUAAUAAUAGCCAUUCUGACUGACGUGAGGGGGUAUCUCACUGUGCUUUUGUUUGCUUUUCUCUAAUAAUUAGUGAUACUGAGCAUUUUUCAUGUUUGUUGGCAGCUUAUAUGCAUCUUUUGAGAAUUGUCUGUUCAUAUCUUUUGCUCACAUUUUAAUGUUGUUAUUUGUUUUUUGCUUGUUCAAUUGUUUAAGUUUCUUAUAGAUUCUGGAUAUUAGAUCUUUGUCAGAUGCAUAGCUUGCAAAUAUUUUCUUCCAUUCUGUAGGUUGUCUGUUUAUUCUGUUG